This 801-nucleotide long non-coding RNA is filed under the name Citrus sinensis (sweet orange). RNAcentral's name for it is "long non-coding RNA (CSIN_LNC002493)". The record is from RNAcentral. Lineage: Eukaryota; Viridiplantae; Streptophyta; Magnoliopsida; Sapindales; Rutaceae.
CAUUUCUUGGUUAGUUAUUAUCCUUUAUUUAUUUUGUUUUACUUAUGGGUAGUGAAGUUUCUGUUUGUCUAUUGUAAUCACACUACAAAUAUCAGUCUUCCUUAUAGUGGCUAAAAGUUUAUCUCUAGUUUUGGCUUCUUAUUGACUUUGAGAUAAUUUAUUAUUGUGUAUUCUGAUGCAUAUCAUGUGUGCAUGUGUGCUAUAUCCACUAGGGAUUCCUCUAGCUUAUAUUAGUGAAUUUAGUUGACGUUAUUCUGUAUUCUAAUUUUCAAAACUUGGUCACUGGAUAUGAGAAUCUUUGUCAUUACUAGAUCUUUCAAAAUUCAAAAAUUAAAAGUUUUAGAGUAAGACUUCCACUAGUUCUAACCAAACAUUUUGUGGUCUUUACAAUUGAUUUGGCUUCCAAUAAUGAUGAUGCUAAGGUAAUUGUUUCUUCAUGUAUCUUCUUACCAAUAUAGACUGAAAUUUUUGUGGAUAGAGCAUUAAUUUUGCACACAUUUUUGGCAUUGCCUUGAGGAGUCAUGGCUUCAAAGAUUAUUCAAUGUAUUGCCGUUGGAAGAGGGUAUUGCUUCUAGAAGUCUUGUUGUUGGAAUAUUUCCAUUAAUCUUUGGAAGUUUUGUUGAGGAGCUUGGCUUAGUGUCUAGAAUUUGAAUUACAUUUCUUGGAGUUUAAUUGGAAUUUAACUAUUGUUUUAUAUUUUGACAUUUUUUUUAAUUUGGGAUGUUUUAUUAUGUAUUAAUGGUAAUGACAUUGAAUACUAGAUGUAUUCAUUUUGAAAUUAAUUUGUUGGAUUGAAUGGAU